UUAGAGAAGAUGCCGAAAAUUUUCAGUUGCGCAUAGCACACGUAUAUAUAUAUAUAUAUAUACGCAGUGAGCGACUAACCUAAAACGUACUUAACCUAAAAACGAAUCCGCGCGCGUUAAAGUCACGGGCAAUGGCAAUUAACAGUAGCGACGUUUUAAUAGCGUUUCUAUCAUCGGCACGCGCGUUAACGAUACGCCGAUUGCCGAGCAAGCCGUGUUACGUCAAAGUCAAAACGUUGACAAACGUGCGCGUGCCCACCUGCAGCUCACGUCAACCGAAUCGAGAAAACAGGCCUCGAAGGACAAGCGACGAGAGAGAGAGAGAGAGAGAGAGAACGAAAUGAAAGAUCACUAUACGGGCCGUUUAUUUCGAAAGUGAAUUUCGAAGCCAAAAUUGCAAUAAAAUAAAUCACGGCGUUACAGUAUUGAAUUGCAAUGACAAAUACAAUUGACAAGAAUCGUAGCAAGGAAAUUUUAUUUAUUCCCAAUCGCCCGCCAGUCAGCGAAAAACAACGAACCAUGGAAAUCCAAAAUGUAUCGACAAUUCCUCCAGCUAUUGAACGACAAGGUGACUUGUAAACGUCAUCGUCACGUUAUCACUCUGUGUGCUCUGCGUGCUCCCUGCUACAUUUACGAUCGAGUAUCGUUUCAACUGUUUGCAAAGAAUACCGUGGAAUCGAGUAUGAUAACACUUUUUCCACCGGCGGAUCGAUGAAAAAUUGAAAAGUCGUCGUAAAGCACAAGCAGUUCGAGUCUUGGGGCUUGAAAAUUUCCAUUGACACGUUGUCUGCAGACAAAGAAACAAGGACAAAACACAGCAAGACAUUACAUUACUAUACUACACAAAUAUUACUUUACUAUAGUAAAGUACAGCGAAAGUAGGCAGAAGGUGAUCAUGUUAUAUCCUAUCGAAAGAGAAGAUACGUGUCUCAGAAGUUGCUACAGACCACAUAAUCUAAGCUCUACUACUUUACAAAUCAAUCAUAAAUUACGAGUACGAAUAUACUCUCCUGCAUAACAGUAAUGUAAAUCUAAUAAUAGGAAGAGAUUUCAAAAAUCCGAUUUUGAUUAUCUUCAACGGAAAAUUACAAAUUACAAAUGCGUAAAAGUCCACAAUCCAGAAGUUGUCACAUUGUUAUCUACUUGGCAAGUUGCGACGACGUAUUUUCAAUUAGUAAGCAUCGAGACAAAAAACGCAAAUCGGACUUGUGCCCUUAGGAGGUACUCAGAUGCGAUUCAACGAGGAUUCAACUAGUAAACACUAGAGAAGUGGGCCCCGCGAAUCGAGCUUUCCUCCUCGUCUCGUACACGCUUUCUUCUCAACCGAGCGUUGAAAGCAUCGAUACGAGCGCGAGAUAAGAGAAUGUACGAGACGAUAACGAUACGCGGGCGGUCGUAUCGCGCAGCAGGCAAAAACAACAACCCGUUGGACUGAUAAAAAGAAAAAAAAAAAAAAAAGAAAGAACGUCACUGUCAAAACGUAGUUCUUCCUGUCGAUCGUCGAGACGAAGAUCGGUUUUUUAAAUCGCCAGCCAGACGAUACGACGCUCCCGCACAGAGGGAAACUGUCAGGCGACGAGAGCUUCACACGCUGCUCGCCGUGCGCCAGACGACGGGUCGCCCUAUCGAGUGAACGUGCUUCCGAGAACUGCCGCUAGGGACGCUCGCGAGCCGCGAGCCCCGCCGUGACGUCACGCGGCACAUGCGCGCUAUACGCCAUCUGCCGAUCGUCUAUCGAACUAAACCCCGGGGCGAGCGAUCGAUCGACCGCCAGGUCACCCUUACGCGCCAAUUUCAAACGUUGCUCCUUUCGCGUUGCCCCGCACAGUUUAGGAAUGUUAUUAAGAAUAACUUUCCAAAAAAUAUAUUGUACGUUGUAUUGUAUCACUGUAUUGAUUCCGUUGUCAUAAAUUAUGUGUUAGAAAUA
This is a long non-coding RNA of Frieseomelitta varia, 1927 nucleotides long. RefSeq lists it as uncharacterized. The record is from RefSeq and is a predicted model, not a curated record. Lineage: Eukaryota; Metazoa; Arthropoda; Insecta; Hymenoptera; Apidae. The transcript is spliced from 6 exons.